RNAcentral lists this ribosomal RNA (231 nucleotides) under uncultured bacterium. RNAcentral describes it as "partial 16S ribosomal RNA". It matches the Rfam family "Bacterial small subunit ribosomal RNA", at positions 330 to 560 of the family's 1533-position model. The record is from RNAcentral.
UACAGACUACGGGAGGCAGCAGGGAGGAAUAUUGGUCAAUGGGCGGAAGCCUGAACCAGCCAAGUCGCGUGAAGGAAGAAGGCCCUGCGGGUCGCAGACCUCUUUGGACGGGGAGCAAGGCCGCCGAUGUGUCGGCGGAAGGAGAGUACCCGUAGAACAAGCAUCGGCUAACUCCGUGCCAGCAGCCGCGGUAAUACGGAGGAUGCGAGCGUUAUCCGGAUUUAUUGGGUU